RNAcentral lists this ribosomal RNA (506 nucleotides) under uncultured bacterium. RNAcentral's name for it is "partial 16S ribosomal RNA". It matches the Rfam family "Bacterial small subunit ribosomal RNA", at positions 29 to 523 of the family's 1533-position model. The record is from RNAcentral.
AGUGAACGCUGGCGGUAGGCCUAACACAUGCAAGUCGAACGGCAGCACAGGAGAGCUUGCUCUCUGGGUGGCGAGUGGCGGACGGGUGAGGAAUACAUCGGAAUCUACUCUGUCGUGGGGGAUAACGUAGGGAAACUUACGCUAAUACCGCAUACGACCUACGGGUGAAUGCAGGGGACCUUCGGGCCUUGCGCGAUUGAAUGAGCCGAUGUCGGAUUAGCUAGUUGGCGGGGUAAAGGCCCACCAAGGCGACGAUCCGUAGCUGGUCUGAGAGGAUGAUCAGCCACACUGGAACUGAGACACGGUCCAGACUCCUACGGGAGGCAGCAGUGGGGAAUAUUGGACAAUGGGCGCAAGCCUGAUCCAGCCAUACCGCGUGGGUGAAGAAGGCCUUCGGGUUGUAAAGCCCUUUUGUUGGGAAAGAAAUCCAGCUGGCUAAUAUCCGGUUGGGAUGACGGUACCCAAAGAAUAAGCACCGGCUAACUUCGUGCCAGCCGCCGCGGUAA